GCCGCUUUAGCUCAGUGGUAGAGCAACCGCCUUGUAAGCGGUAGGUCGUCUGUUCAAUCCAGACAAGCGGCACCA
RNAcentral lists this transfer RNA (75 nucleotides) under Betaproteobacteria bacterium RIFCSPLOWO2_02_FULL_67_19. Its description in RNAcentral is "tRNA-Thr". It matches the Rfam family "tRNA". Rfam says of the family: Transfer RNA (tRNA) molecules are approximately 80 nucleotides in length. Their secondary structure includes four short double-helical elements and three loops (D, anti-codon, and T loops). RNAcentral also lists the same sequence under 5 other names. The record is from RNAcentral. Lineage: Bacteria; Pseudomonadati; Pseudomonadota; Betaproteobacteria.